RNAcentral lists this ribosomal RNA (253 nucleotides) under uncultured bacterium. RNAcentral describes it as "partial 16S ribosomal RNA". It matches the Rfam family "Bacterial small subunit ribosomal RNA", at positions 524 to 776 of the family's 1533-position model. RNAcentral also lists the same sequence under 1 other name. The record is from RNAcentral.
UACGUAGGGGGCAAGCGUUGUCCGGAAUCAUUGGGCGUAAAGAGCGUGUAGGCGGUCCGGUAAGUCCGCUCUGAAAGCCCGGGGCUCAACCCCGGGAGGCGGGCGGAUACUGUCGGGCUAGAGUCCGGAAGAGGCAAGUGGAAUUCCUGGUGUAGCGGUGAAAUGCGCAGAUAUCAGGAGGAACACCGAUGGCGAAGGCAGCUUGCUGGGACGGUACUGACGCUGAGACGCGAAAGCGUGGGGAGCAAACAGG